This 9280-nucleotide long non-coding RNA is filed under the name Solanum tuberosum (potato). Its description in RNAcentral is "long non-coding RNA (STUB_LNC008346)". The record is from RNAcentral. Lineage: Eukaryota; Viridiplantae; Streptophyta; Magnoliopsida; Solanales; Solanaceae.
ACUUUCAGUGCUUGGAAGCUUCAGGUUUCAAGGGUUUGUGGGUUUCUCUUUUUUCUAUUCUUUACGCUUUUAAUGUCAGAUCUUUGUACUCUUCAAUUUUGGGAUAGUUUUUGCGUUUUUCCAUCUGGAACUCUCUAAAUCUAUUUCAUUUUUAAGUGAGAUUUCAUCCUACUGGGCCUUGAUAAAUUGAUCAAAUUUAUCCAGAAUUUUUUGAAUUUGAGUUUGGUGUCAACGGGCUUACAUGGAGAUUCCACCAUUGAUGUCAAGCUGAGUUUUCCUGUUCAUGCUCCGAAUUGUUGGAAACAUCAGCUUAUAUUAUUUGGCUUUAUAGAACAAUUUGGCCUCGCCCUAGAUUUCUCUCCACAACAUGGAAUCGAGAAUGCACUUUUCUGAUGUUUCAUCUCAUUGCAUGUUAUAAUAUGUGUAUUUGUUCCAUUUGGAAGCAUCAAUUUUUUAUGGGUAGGAAAUAUCUACUUUAUAUAUUUUAAUUUUUUUAUUGUUUUUGGUUUUUGUACAAAGUCCUGCUUAAUUUAAGAUUUACUAUAUCAUUUAGACUGUAGUACAUCAUCAUAAACAACUUCUUUAUCUCUCAAGAUAAGGAUAAAACUGAGUAUGUUAUUGUUGUAGACUUUUAGUGCAUUGUUCAUAUUCUUUGCUGCUAAAAGGCUUUCCAAUCUGCAAGGAGAAAAAUUGAGUUUGUCUCAAUAGGUCUUUAUAAGUUAUUCUAGCCAUUACUUCAUAUUGAGCAUACAUUAAUAAGUUCCAUGCUAUUUCGAAGGCUCAUUAGUUCAUUGUUAUGCUUUUCUGAAUUGAAUUAGACUAGAUAGCAUUAAGUGCUCAGAAGGUCGAUGACUUGGUAUGUGUGCUUUUCAAUAAUUUGCUGGAAAAGAAAAUAGUAAUGUCCCCAUGGGUACAUUGGAUAGUGAAGAAGUUGGGGUGUAAAAUCAGAAUGUUCCUGACAGCUUCACGAGCAAACAAUAUACUCAGUAUGUUAAGAAAUUUAUUUUAAAUAUGUAUUAUUGUGAUUCAAAUCUUUCUUCAUUGUUGCAGUGCUUCGUAAGAUUCUACUAUUUCCUUACAAAAUGUACACACUUCUCUUAAUUCCAACUUACUUGGUUGAUUGAUACAUGUUUUUUCAAGAUAUCGCCACGUCUUUCUGAAUCCUUCAUAUGCAUCGAGUCGGCUGGGUACGGAUGUGAUAUGCAUUUGAAUACUUUCGAUGGAUCAUCAAAACACAGUAAACAAAUGAACUAAAUUUACUUACAUUGGAUACUUACACACCCCUAUUGGAACAGUACAAUGAUUGUCGUGAGACCAAAGUUUUCUCCUACUUUGGAGUCAACAGGAUAGAAUUUUAACUUACAGUAAAUAUAGACCUACAAGAUACACUGUCGUUUCUAGAGAUUGGGAAAGUUACCCCACAGAAAUUUUUACUAAGUGCUUAAUCAUACAUUUGAUUUCAGUCAUGGAGUCGAGCUCUAGAUUUUUCUCACUUCUCACUAAUGCAUAGUUUUUAUCUUUCUUAUCUUCAGUUAUAAGUGGAAACGUCCAUUUGUGGCAAUAAUUUCAUAGAGCUUUUUACAGAAGUUGAGUUACACUAUUCUCUUACUCCUAAACAAUUUCUUUCAUUGACAACAUAGGUGUAUUUCACAUCUUUUUUGACUUGCAGAACAAAUAUGAUUUUUCUGGCCCAUUUUUGUGCACCUACCUCACCUUUUACAACUCUUACAGCUUCUCCUAUUGUCUUUCUUGGAGUGAGUCAUUGUCAUCCUUCUAUUAAUUCGCAUUUCUCAUAUUUUAGGGAUUUUUGUAAUUUCUUUGGUCACACCGUCAAGGAUUCUCUCUGUUGUUCCUACAUCAGCCUUUUGUUAAUAUUAGAUAAAAAUUAAUCUUUCAAUCUCAAAAAGAAAAUAUGAAGCUUGGAAGAACUUGUCUUCUUUAAGACAUGUUUAAUUCAACUAAUGUCACAGUGGUGUUAUAAAUAUGAUGAAAAGUAAGUUGAUUUGUGUUAAAUUACUGAAUCAAUACACUAUCAAUGGUGAAAAAAUGUAAAUGGAAGCAGUUAAGAAAACAGAGAGUACAUCUUCUUCAGAGAACUUGCAUUCAAUACCAUCUGUAAAUUGGAUUGUCUAACUACAAAUGAAUGAGGCUAGGACCUUUUAUUUACAAAAGAUUCUACUUGCUAAUAAUCUCUAACAAUCUACUAACUACAUAAAAUAUCUUCUAACAAACUCUAACUGACUCGUGUGCCAGCUUAGCUCAACUAGCUGCAACUUGUUUAUCAUAGUCGUAGUCCUCAAUACCCCCAUUCAAGCUAGGUGGUAUGAAGAUGUUCUUCAAGCCUAGCUUGGAAACGAGAUAAGAGUGUCGGGCAGAACUUAGUCCCUUUGUGAGGAUAUCGGCAGGUUGUUCUUGUGUGGGCAAAUAGUGAAUCAUCACAAGGCCAGCUUGAACCUUUUCCCGAAAGAAGUGGCAGUCAAUGUCGAUGUGUUUCGUCCUUUCGUGGAAUACAUGAUUAGCUGCGAUCUGAAUGGCAGCUUUACUAUCACAAUAUAAAGAAAUAGUAAAGACAAUAGCAUAUCCAGCUCCUUGAAUAAACUAGUUAACCAAACGAGCUCAGCGACAGUGGAGGCGAGGCUCCUAUACUCUGCCUCUGCAGAACUUCUGGAAAUGGUAGACUAUUUCUUAGACUUCCGGGAUAACAAAGCACUUCCAAAUUGAAUCAUAUAACUAGUAAUGGAUUUCCUAGUAUUAAUGCAAGAGCCCCAAUCAGCAUCACAGUAUGCUUGAAGUGUGGCUGCUGUCUGAACAGCCAUAUAAAGGCCUAGACCUGGAGCUUGUUUCACAUACUUCACCACUCGAACAGUUGCUUCCAUAUGAGAAGCCUUAGGAGCAUGCAUGAAUUGGCUCAAAUGCUGGACUGCAAAGGAUAUAUCAGGUCUUGUUAUGGUAAGGUAUAACAACCUUCCAACUACUCGUUGAUAUUCAGUAGGGUCUGCUAACAAAGAAUCAGCACCUGAACUUCCAACAUGUAGAUCAAACUCAUGUGUGGCAAGCUUCAAAUGCAUCUCAAUAGGAAUGACAGAUGGUUUGGAUCCUCCCAAUCCCAAAUCAGAAAAAAGCUCAAGGGCAUAUUUCUGUUGAUGCAUUAGCAUACCACCUGCAUUUCUGGCAAAUUCAUGCCCAAGAAAUAUCUCAAAGUGCCCAAGUCCUUAAUUUUGAAGUUUGCCUUAAGUACUUGUUUGGCAUCAUCUAUAAGUUGGAGAUUGCUUCCAGUAAUCAACAAAUCAUCUACAUAUAUAAGUACAAUCACAAUCCCAUUUGCAGUCCGCUUUAUCAUCAAUAAAUAAUCAAGAUGGCUCUGCUGAAAACCAGCGACAAGUAAAGCAGUAGUGAGCUUCACAUUCCACUGUCGAGAAGCCUGCUUCAGCCCAUAUAGAGACUUAAGUAACCUGCAUACUUUAGGAACCCCUUUCUUAUCAUGCUGAAAUCCUUGUGGCAAUUGCAUAUAGACUUCCUCAAUAAGAUCGCCUUGUAAAAAGGCAUUAUAAACAUCCAUCUGUUGAAUGUCCCAUCCCUUUGAAACAGCCAAGGUCAGAACAGUCCUUAAUGUAACCAUUUUUACUACAGGAGAGAAAGUCUCUUGGUAAUCCAGGCCUUCUUUCUUAUUAUAACCUUUUGCUACUAGCCGAGCCUUGAAUCUUUCUAUCUCACCACUAGCUUUAUAUUUGAUUUUAUAAACCCAUUUACAACCAAUUGCUUUCUUUCCUUUUGGCAAAGAAACAACCUCCCAAGUUUUGUUAUCCUCCAAUGCUUGAAUUUCUUCCUUAAUAGCAUGUACCCAUCUACAAUCAUUAGCAGUCUGAUAAUAAAAUUGAGGUUCCGUCUCAACUGAUGAACUAGCAAUGUAACAUUGAUAAGUGGAGGAAAGACAAUUGUAAUCAAUGUUGUCUGAGAUAGGAUAAAGACAAUGGUUUGAUCUACCUGUGGAGGUAGUAAUGAAAUCUUUCUGCCAAAGGGGUGGUUUGCUUGGCCUGUGAGAUCUCCUUCUCUCAGGAGAAGGAAGUAAAUGAUCAUAAAAAACAGCUGAAGGAGGUGAAGCUACUUGUAUAAUUUCCUCACUUGUUAUUGUAGCAGGUUGGACUGCAUCAACAUCCUCAGUAUGAGAGGAACAGGUAGGUGAAGCCAAAAAUAUUGUUGUAUCAUGUGGAUCAGCCAAUGUUGGGGACUGAAAAGGAAGCACUGCUUCAUUGAACACCACGUCCCUACUAACAAAGAAUAUUUGAUGCUCAAGAUCAUAUAACUUGUAACCCUUUUGUGUAGAACCAUUGCCCAUUAAAACUGAUCAAAUAGCCCUCGGACCAAAUUUAUCAGUGUUGACUAGAUUUGUAGCAUGACAUAGACAGCCAAUUACUCUCAUGUAGGACAAGUCAGGAGAUCUCUUAUACAUCAAUUCAAAAGGUGAUUUAUUGUGCAAUACUGAAGAAGGAAUUCUAUUUAUAAUGUGUACAUCACUUAAGACACACUCACCCCAGAAUUGAAUUGGUAAGUGACCUUGAAACCUAAAUGCCCUUGGAGUCUCUAAAAUGUGUAUGUGUCUUCUUUCCACUACAUCAUUCUGUUGUGGUGUAUGUGGACAAGAACUUUGGUGCACAAUCCCAUGACUCUUGAACAACCCAUCACACUGAGCAUUAAAGAACUCAGUACCAUUAUCUGAUCUGAAAGUCUUAAUUUUCUGUCCAAAUUGAGUGUCAAUCAUCAAAAUGAAAUUCUGUAAAAUAGUAGAAACAUCAGAUUUCAAGUGCAUUAAGAAAAUCCAUGUCCAUCUUGAAUGAUCAUCAACCACUGUUAGAAAAUAUCUCAUUUUAUUAUGUGUAGCAGCCUUAUAAGGUCCCCAUACAUCCAAAUGAAUCAAGUUAAAACAAUUGUCACUUUUACUUUGACUAAUAGGAAAUGGCAAUCUAACUUGUCUUGCCAAUGGGCAUACAUCACAACUAGGUAGAACAAGUUUUUGUGGACUAUCAAACAUCUUAAUUUUCCUAAGCACACUCAUAGGGAUGUGACCUAGUCUCUUAUGCCACGUUUCAAUUUCUUCGCAUCCUUUAACAGCUGCCAGUGCCUUCUUUGAUUUAUCAUGAUGUUGGUGUGGUCUGGUAAUGUACAAGCCAUUAAUCUCUUCACCAAUCUCCUUCACUUUCCCAGUGAAGAGAUCCUGAAUUAUAAAGAAAUCAGGGAAGAAAAUGACAUAACAAUUCAGUUCUUUAGUGAGCUUAGAAACUGAAAGAAGAUUGAACUGAAAAUUUGGCACACACAACACAUUUUUAACUACAUCACCUCAUGUUAAUUGUGAACUGCCUGAGUGUGUAACAACAGCUGAAUCCCCUGUGGGGAGUUGGACCUUUCCCGGGUGAGAAACUGAUAAGCCAUAUAAUCAGUAGCACCACUAUCUACUAUCCAAGCUGAGCUAUGAGUAGUACUGUUACAGUGAGAAGAACCUGCAAAAAUUCCUGCUACAUUUGCACUGGAUUCACUCAGCAUGGGUUUUUUCAUCAUGUGAAUGAUGUUGUAAUAUUAACUCGUAGUAAACUGUGGCACAGAUCUAAGUCCAAAAUUUCCAGCAAUAGAUCCAGAACUAUGUCCAAUUGUAUUUCCUGUAAAUUGCAUGGGAGAAACAAAAUGGCCAAUACCAUCACCUGUAUACUGCAUUGGGUAAUUGAGAUUAUUGUUGAAAUUAUUGUGUUGCAUUUGAGGCAAUGAAAGUGCAGUGACAAUAUUUGCCUUCUUCUUUCCUUUGUAGUCGGCAAGGUAACCGAUGAGUUGAUAGCAGGUGUCCUUUGUAUGACCUUGCAUAUUGCAAUGUGUGCAGUGCUUAAGCUUGUUGCUAUUGGCUCGAAUGUGCCCUUUCAUGUUACAUAAAUCGCAGUACAUAUUUCCUCCUUUGUGAAAUCGAUGAGAAUUACCAUUACCACUUCCAUUACCAGAACCUUGAGAUCCAAAACCACUGCCUCCAGGCCUGUGAGUGAAUAAUGCAGUUGGAUCAAUCGUUUGUCCAGAUCCACUUAAGGAACGUUGGCUUUCAUCCUGAACAAUCAUUGCAUAACAUUGAUUCACACUAGGAGAUGGAUUUAUCAUUAGAAUUUGGCUCCUUGCUUGCCCAUAGUUAUCGUUCAACCCCAUAAGAAACUAAAGUAAUUUUUGCCUAAGCAUACUAUCAGUAUAAUCAACUGAUUUUGCACAGUCGCAGGAAGGAGGUGGGAGUAUCGAGUCAUAUUCAUCCCAAAGAUCUUUCAAUUUCGAAUAGUAAACUGAAACAGGAGAAACUCCUUGAACAUGCGUAACAAUUGCUUUAUGGAAAUGAAAAAUACUUGACAUGUUUACCUUGUCGAAUCGUUCCUUCAAGUCAUUCCAAACCAAAGCUGCAUUAGAUCGAAACAAGAUACCACUAACUAUGCUUACAUUAUUCAUCAACCAAGAGAGGACCAUCGCAUUGCAUCAAUCCCACUGUUUCUUCUCCAGUUCUUCCUUAAAAUCAUCUCGUCGAAGACUGCCAUCAAUAAAUCCCAUCUUAUUCUUCGUCAAGAGGGUUAAUUGCAUAGCUCGACUCCAUAGUGAGUAAUUUUUCAUCCCUGUGAGCUGAAUUCCAGUCUGCACAACUCCUGGAAUAUCAGAUGUCGAUAGAUACAGAGGAUGAUUGUGGUCGAUCUUCGUCGCCAUCGCAAUCCUUCAACUCUGCAAUAUACUAAAAAAAAUGGAGAUGCGGAAAAUUCACCCAGAACUCUAUCAAUUAAGCUCUGAUACCAUGUUAAAUUGCUGAAUCAAUACACUAUCAAUGGUGAAAAAAUGUAAAUGGAAGCAGUUAAGAAAACAUAGAGUACAUCUUCUUCAGAGAACUUGCAUUCAAUACCAUCUAUAAAUUGGAUUGUCUAACUACAAAUGAAUGAGGCUAGGACCUUUUAUAUACAAAAGAUUCUACUUGCUAAUAAUCUCUAACAAUAUACUAACUACAUAAAAUAUCUUCUAACUGACUCGUGUGCCAGCUCAGCUCAACUAGCUGCAACUUGUUUAUCAUAGUCGUAGUCCUCAAUAAUUUGUGUGAUAUCAACAUGUGCAUCAAAACUUUUAACUUCAACUUUCCGCAAUAAAAAUGUGUUCCUUAUUAGAAUUCUGAAAGUACAACAAUACUGACCAUCUUUGCCGAAUUUUAGAAAAAAAUUAAAUAAGAAGACUAACAUCUUCGUUGUUGGCAUUACGCAGAUCAUAAGAGAGAUGGAGUGAGAACCAACUAGAAUUAUCUUGGUACAUUAUUAAACAUCGUAUAUUUUUAAGUUUCCAGGUAUUAUUCAACUCUACAAUUGAAAAGUUCAAAGUUAUAUUGACUGAUUGACCAUUGUUUUUUAUGAUGUAAUUUUUAACUACUGUGUAAUAUGAUAAACAAAAAUAGAUAGAACAUGUAGUGAACUGUUCCACUACUGCUAACUUAUAUUGUAUUAACCAUACUUUUGGAGCUUUUAUAUGUUGUCGUUUCUACAGGGCAACAACAUAUAUGCAAAUUUUGUAUAAUCAUUGUUUUUUUUGCUGGACUCUCUAUUACUUAGUUCUCAAUCAUUAUAUAUUCAUCUCCAUUUUAUGGGUUCACUGGUUUCAACAACUCUUUGGGAUGUUUUCUUCACCAAUUGAAGGAGACAUUUAUUGUUGAAUCUUUCUUUUAGUACUACGCUAUUAUAGUUGAUUUUAUCAAAUAUAAGAGAUAUAUAAGGAUACAGUUGAGCCAUUGUUCAUAUGCCAUCUGAAUUAGGUAUCUAUUAGUGAAAUAAUCUGACAAGAUUGCAAUUAUGUCAUAUUGGAUAUGUAUCGCAGGCGAAUUCUUACCCUUUGUAGAUUAAAUUGUGUUUCAUUGAAUAGAAUAUUUCUAUCUUGCAAACUUUAUACUCUUAAUAGGAGGACCUAUUGAAUAAGUCUCCAAUCAAUCGUAGGCGGGUGAGAAAAUGGAUUUGCCUCUUUCCUAUAGUGUUCAUUGUCGAUAAGUUUCCUCUAGAGAUUGAUUUCUUAAAGAAAUACUUCUGAUCUCAAGUUUUAUGUCUUUUUUUGUUAUUCUGUUGAGAAAUAUUUCUUAUGAAAGAAUGUCAUGUUCGUAUUCAUAUUGAAUAACUUUAUUUUGGACAUUAUUAUGAUGCCAACUAUAACUUAUAUUUCUUAAUUUAGUGACGUUAUAUGUUUAGUAAGUAUAUUUCAGUGUCACAUUAGUUACACUUUUUAUUGUUGGGGUGACAUCCUCUUUAAUAAGUAUAUUUUUGUGUCUCAUUCGUUUUUUUGACGUUUUCAGCACCAAUGGAGAAACUAUAUUCUAUUUAGACCUUGUUAGUAAGAAAUAUAUAGUAUGCCUAUACUAUAAGAUAUUGAAUGUUAACAUAUCUGAUAGCUUACAUGAUCAGGCGUACUUUAUAUUGCCUAAUGUAGGUUUGGGAUUAUAGGUAGAAAAGAUUACCUAGCUGCUUUACAUGACAAGGCGUACGUUAUAUACAACCAACUUCUAUAUGACUAUCAACUGCUUUGACUUUGUAAGUUUGGCCAUAUCUUCAAACUGAUGUACUUUAUGUACUAAGCCUCUUUUUUUGCCCAACACAUAUUAUGAGUAAUAGUUGAGUGCAAUCUCUUUGUUUAUUAAUUAGAGUCAGUUGUAUCUAUGGAUUGUUAUGACGCAAUAUCAAAAUUGUUUCAAUAUACUGUGUUGACAUGACUAUUUUACACUCAAAUCUUUUUUUUACCUUCAAACUUUCAAGUUCUGCCAUUGAAUUCUGUUAAUCAAUGUAAUCUUCAGUCUCGAAAUUUGUUCCCUUAAAUUCUGCAAAUGUUAUAGAGGGUCAAGUAUAUCCCGUGGAUGGUGUACUUUCAAAAUUCAACUUCAAGACAGUAAAUGCCAUAUUUUUUAAAGUCAGUGUCCAAGUAUUUACUUUAAAAUGUUUCCAUUUGCAAAGGUAUAAAGUUGUUAAAUCCACACACUUAUUUAGUAUCUUUGACAAUGUAAUUAUAUUCUUAUUGCUAUAUGAGGUCUACUCAUUCUAAGCAAAUUUGGAUCUGCAGUUAUCCCUGAAUGAGGAAGAAGAAACAUAUAGAAGGUAGUUUAUUGAAGCAUUUUUACAGCUAUGAUUUUGCCUUUUUUCCCAUGUGUUUGUUAGUUUAGUAGGUUUCAUGUUUUUAACAAUACUAGUUUCACGGCACAUGUGUAUUGUAUAUAUAAUGUACAAUGCUGUAAAAUAGAAUUAAUAUUACUAAAGUAAGC